Molecule: ribosomal RNA, 467 nt
Filed under: uncultured organism
Description: bacterial SSU rRNA
Rfam family: Bacterial small subunit ribosomal RNA
Source: RNAcentral
AAUCAACGCUGGCGGCGUGCCUCAGACAUGCAAGUCGAACGAUUAAAGCUCUCUUCGGAGAGUGCAUAGAGUGGCGCACGGGUGAGUAACACGUAAGUAAUCUACCCUCGAGUGGGGAAUAACGUCCGGAAACGGACGCUAAUACCGCAUAAUGCAGCGGCACCGCAAGGUGACAGUUGUUAAAGGAGAAAUUCGCUUGAGGAGGAGCUUGCGGUAGAUUAGCUAGUUGGUAAGGUAAUGGCUUACCAAGGCUACGAUCUAUAACCGGUCUAAGAGGACGGUCGGUCACACUGACACUGAAUAACGGGUCAGACUCCUACGGGAGGCAGCAGUCGGGAAUUUUGGGCAAUGGGGGAAACCCUGACCCAGCAACGCCGCGUGAAGGAUGAAGUAUUUCGGUAUGUAAACUUCGAAAGAAUAGGAAGAAUCAAUGACGGUACUAUUUAUAAGGUCCGGCUAACUACGUG